GUCUUUUUGGUUAUUUAAUAUAAAGUCUGACCUGCCCACUGAAUUUAUUUUGAAGGGCCGCAGUAUUUUGACUGUGCAAAGGUAGCAUAAUCAUUAGUCUUUUAAUUGAAGGCUGGUAUGAAUGGUUGGAUGAGGUACAAGCUGUGUCAUAAAAAUUAAUUUUUGAAUUUACCUUUUUAGUCAAAAGGCUAAAAUAACAUUAAAAGACGAGAAGACCCUAUAGAGCUUUAUAUAAUUUAUAUUUAAAUUAUUAAGAUUUUUUAAAUUUAAUUAUUUUAUUAUAUUUUGUUGGGGUGACAAUAAAAUUUAUAAAACUUUUAUUUUUAUUAACCAUUUAUUUAUGUUUAUAUGAUCCAGUUUUAUUGAUUAUAAAUUUAAGUUACCUUAGGGAUAACAGCGUAAUUUUUUUUGAGAGUUCUUAUCGACAAAAAAGAUUGCGACCUCGAUGUUGGAUUAAGAGUAAUUUUGGGUGUAGAAGUUCAAAGUUUAAGUCUGUUCGACUUUUAAAUUCUUACAU
This 517-nucleotide ribosomal RNA is filed under the name Simulium arakawae. Its description in RNAcentral is "partial 16S ribosomal RNA". It matches the Rfam family "Bacterial large subunit ribosomal RNA", at positions 1825 to 2601 of the family's 2925-position model. The record is from RNAcentral. Lineage: Eukaryota; Metazoa; Arthropoda; Insecta; Diptera; Simuliidae.